RNAcentral lists this long non-coding RNA (860 nucleotides) under Gallus gallus (chicken). Lineage: Eukaryota; Metazoa; Chordata; Aves; Galliformes; Phasianidae. The record is from RNAcentral.
GAAGAAGCCAAUCUUCCAUAACAGAAGUGAAAGAAGCAAAAACAAGGUAAUACCAGCUAUUAAGCCUAUUCCAAUAAUCAGUACAGUGACGUGGUAUUUUGGCUUUUGGUGGUGCACUCCUUCCAGAUAGACAUAUGCAACUUGCUUGUCCUUCUGUAGUUCAAUAACUUUUGCAUUCUUUUCUGGUGAGGCUGUCGCUCUUACUUCGAACUUCAAUGUAGAAGCAUCAUCCAUUUCUAAAAGUGCAGGAGUAGCUUCCAGGUGCAACUGAAUGGUUGCUUCUUUUCCAUUUUCCAUGUUUCCAAGCUUGCAAUGUAUUUGUAAGCAAAGGCUGUCAUUUUUCAUACAGUACAUUUGUCUUUUAGCAGGCUUUGAAAAGAAAGUGACAACAUCCUUCAAUAUGUUUUCAGUUUUUUCCGGUGCAUUACAGUUUCUGGGAUAUUCAUUGUAGGAGCAUUCUCCAACUGUUGUCUUGAUAUCCAUGACGUUGAAUAAUUUGAAGUCAUGGGGUGGAAAAGCAUUAGGUAUCAUUAACUCUAAGUUUAUAUUUGGAGCCAUGCUUGGUCCUGCAUUGAUAACAUGGAAAGUGAAGUUGAUAUUCUCCUCCAUACACAUAACUGAUGCUUCAUUCUCAUUUGUUCCAUAAACAAAUGAAGGUGGUGUUACAAAUCUACAACAGUUUAGAAGGUACUUAAUAGAUUUGAUAUAUAUUGUUAGCAUAAUUUUUUCUCUGAGAUGUCCUACAGGGCUGAUGCCAAAAAAAGAAUAACUCAAGUUUUUAGUUAGGUAAAGCCAGGAACACCGAGUAGAAAUCUACCUUUGUACUAUUUCCACUUAAGGCAGAUAAAUCAGAAAAGGUC